GUGAGGAAUAUUGGUCAAUGGGCGCAAGCCUGAACCAGCCAUGCCGCGUGCAGGAAGACGGUCCUAUGGAUUGUAAACUGCUUUUAUUUGGGAAUAAACUCCGGUACGUGUACCGGCCUGAAGGUACCAAAUGAAUAAGCACCGGCUAACUCCGUGCCAGCAGCCGCGGUAAUACGGAGGGUGCAAGCGUUAUCCGGAAUCAUUGGGUUUAAAGGGUCCGCAGGCGGUCUUAUAAGUCAGUGGUGAAAGCAUACAGCUCAACUGUAGAACUGCCAUUGAUACUGUAGGACUUGAAUUCGAUCGAAGUGGGCGGAAUGUGACAUGUAGCGGUGAAAUGCUUAGAUAUGUCACAGAACACCGAUAGCGAAGGCAGCUCACUAGGUCUGGAUUGACGCUCAGGGACGAAAGCGUGGGGAGCAAACAGGAUUAGAUACCCGAGUAGUCC
This 445-nucleotide ribosomal RNA is filed under the name uncultured bacterium. RNAcentral describes it as "partial 16S ribosomal RNA". It matches the Rfam family "Bacterial small subunit ribosomal RNA", at positions 354 to 796 of the family's 1533-position model. The record is from RNAcentral.